CCUACGGGAGGCAGCAGUGGGGAAUAUUGCGCAAUGGACGAAAGUCUGACGCAGCGACGCCUCGUGAGGGACGAAGGUCUUCGGAUUGUAAACCUCUUUCAGCAGGGACGAAGCGAAAGUGACGGUACCUGCAGAAGAAGCACCGGCUAACUCCGUGCCAGCAGCCGCGGUAAUACGGAGGGUGCAAGCGUUAUCCGGAUUCACUGGGUUUAAAGGGAGCGUAGGCGGGCGUGUAAGUCAGUGGUGAAAGCCCUCAGCUUAACUGAGGAACUGCCAUUGAUACUAUAUGUCUUGAAUGUCGUUGAGGUUUGCGGAAUAGGUCAUGUAGCGGUGAAAUGCUUAGAUAUGACCUAGAACACCUAUUGCGAAGGCAGCAGGCUAAACGAAUAUUGACGCUGAGGCUCGAAGGCGUGGGGAUCAAACAGGAUUAGAUACCCUGGUAGUCCACGCCCUAAACGAUGAUUACUCGACAUUGGCGAUACACAGUCAGUGUCUGAGCGAAAGCAUUAAGUAAUCCACCUGGGAAGUACGACCGCAAGGUUGAAACUCAAAGGAAUUGACGG
RNAcentral lists this ribosomal RNA (563 nucleotides) under uncultured Bacteroidota bacterium. RNAcentral's name for it is "bacterial SSU rRNA". It matches the Rfam family "Bacterial small subunit ribosomal RNA", at positions 338 to 916 of the family's 1533-position model. The record is from RNAcentral. Lineage: Bacteria; Pseudomonadati; Bacteroidota.